Cercocebus atys (sooty mangabey) is the source of this 1121-nucleotide long non-coding RNA. RefSeq lists it as uncharacterized. NCBI's taxonomy places the organism in Eukaryota, Metazoa, Chordata, Mammalia, Primates, Cercopithecidae. The record is from RefSeq and is a predicted model, not a curated record. The transcript is spliced from 2 exons.
GCAGUGAGCAGAGAUCCCACCACUGCACUCUAGCCUGGGAGACAGAGCAAGACACUGUCUCAAACAUAAUACUAGUAAUAAUAAUGGUAUGAUAGCACAUAUACGAAGUUUGCUACAUGUCAGACACUCUUUUUAGUGCUCUAUAUGUAUUAACCAAGUGAUUCUCAAACAUGGGUUGCAAUGCCCUCCUUGCCUCCCCUUAUCCUUGUUCCUGUCCUCAGGAACAGGGAAUAUUUGGAAAUUGGUGGGAGCUUUUUUUCUUUUUUCUUUUUGAGAUGGAGUUUCACUCUUGUUGCAGUGAGCUGAGUUUGUGCCACUGCACUCCAGUCUGGGGGACAGAGGGAGACUCUGUCCCAAUAAAUAAAUAAAUAGAGUUUGAAUUUAAUUUUAAAAUAAGGCAUUGUAGGAUUUUUAAGCAGCGGAGUAACAUGGUUCAGAAGGCUAUUGCUGAGGUCCAGAAAAGAGAUGAUAGUGGCUUCAACUGGGUGAUGGCGGUGAAGAUGAUGAGUAAUGGGUAGAUUUCAGAUAUUUUUCGGCUUGACGUUGUGGCUCACGCUUGUAAUCCCAGCAUUUUGGGAGGUCUAGCCAGGCAGGUCCCUUGAGCCCAAGAGUUUGAGACCAGCCUGGGCGACAUGGCGAAACUCUGUCUCUACAAAAUAUAUAAAAAUUAUUCAGUCCUGGUGGUGUGUGCCUGUAGCUACUCGGGAGACUGAAGUGGGAGGGUCACCUGAGACCAGGAGGCUGAGGUUGCAGCCAGGAGGUUGAGUUGUGAUUUUGCCACUGCACUCCAGUCUGGGCAACCGAGUGCGACCCUGUAUCAAAAAUAAUUUUUAAAUAGGCCAGGCGUGGUGGCUACACCUGUUUUCCCAGCACUUUGGGAGGCCGAGGCGGGUGGAUCACCUGAGGUCAGGAGUUUGUGACCUGGCCAACAUGGUGAAACCCAGUCUCUACCCAAUCUCUACUAAAAAUACAAAAAAUUAGCCAGAUGUGGUGGCGGGUGCCUGUAAUCCCAGCUACUCGGGAGGCUGAGGCAGGAGAAUCACUUGAACCCUGCAGGCAGAGGUUGCAGUGAGCUGAAAUUGCACCACUGCACUCCAGCUUGGGUGACACAGUAAAACUCU